Molecule: long non-coding RNA, 244 nt
Organism: Sapajus apella (tufted capuchin)
Lineage: Eukaryota; Metazoa; Chordata; Mammalia; Primates; Cebidae
Exons: 2
Source: RefSeq, a predicted model, not a curated record
AAGCGAUCCUCUCAUUUCAGUUUCCUGAGUAGCUACAGGAAUUUGCCCUUCAGAUACCCUGUGGCAGUAUGAACAUGGACGCUCACUGUGGCAAGAUUUGUAACAGCCAUAAACUAGAAGCUGGGGAGGUAAGCGAUGAUGCAUCUAUAUAAUGAAAUCUUAUACCGUUGUCUGAAUGAGACAGAUUUUAUGGGAAAAGCAGGCCAAUUUACGUUAUUAAAUUAAGACAAAAAUGCAAAACUAG